CCCUUAGAUGUUCUGGGCUGCACGCGCGCUACACUGACGCACGCAACAGGUGCCUGCUCCGAGAGGACUGGGUAAUCAUUUGAGUGUGCGUCGUGAUGGGGAUAGAAUAUUGUAAUUAUUACUCUUCAACGAGGAAUUCCUAGUAAGCGCCAGUCAGCAGCUUGCGCUGAUUACGUCCCUGCCCUUUGUACACACCGCCCGUCGCUCCUACCGAUGGGUGAUCCGGUGAAUGAUUCGGACUUCAGCGGCUCCCCUGGGGUGCGCCGGAGAAAGUUUUGCGAACCUUAUCACUUGGAGGAAGGAGAAGUCGUAACA
This 315-nucleotide ribosomal RNA is filed under the name uncultured eukaryote. RNAcentral describes it as "partial 18S ribosomal RNA". It matches the Rfam family "Eukaryotic small subunit ribosomal RNA", at positions 1470 to 1796 of the family's 1831-position model. The record is from RNAcentral.